UACAGAGGGGGCGAGCGUUAUUCGGAAUUAUUGGGCGUAAAGGGCGCGUAGGCGGCCUUUCAAGUGACGGGUGAAAUCCCUCGGCUUAACCGAGGAACUGCCUGUCAGACUGGAAGGCUUGAGACCGGGAGAGGUGAGUGGAAUUCCCAGUGUAGCGGUGAAAUGCGUAGAUAUUGGGAGGAACACCAGUGGCGAAGGCGGCUCACUGGACCGGUACUGACGCUGAGGCGCGAAAGCGUGGGGAGCGAACAGG
RNAcentral lists this ribosomal RNA (253 nucleotides) under uncultured bacterium. RNAcentral's name for it is "partial 16S ribosomal RNA". It matches the Rfam family "Bacterial small subunit ribosomal RNA", at positions 524 to 776 of the family's 1533-position model. The record is from RNAcentral.